This 254-nucleotide ribosomal RNA is filed under the name uncultured bacterium. RNAcentral describes it as "partial 16S ribosomal RNA". It matches the Rfam family "Bacterial small subunit ribosomal RNA", at positions 524 to 776 of the family's 1533-position model. The record is from RNAcentral.
UACGAAGGGGGCUAGCGUUGCUCGGAAUGACUGGGCGUAAAGGGCGCGUAGGCGGCUCAUACAGUCAGGCGUGAAAUUCCUGGGCUCAACCUGGGGACUGCGCUUGAGACGUGUGGGCUUGAGUGGGGAAGAGGGUCGUGGAAUUCCCCAGUGUAGAGGUGAAAUUCGUAGAUAUUGGGAAGAACACCGGUGGCGAAGGCGGCGACCUGGUCCUUGACCUGACGCUGAGGCGCGAAAGCGUGGGAGCAAACAGG